Molecule: long non-coding RNA, 2214 nt
Organism: Mastomys coucha (southern multimammate mouse)
Lineage: Eukaryota; Metazoa; Chordata; Mammalia; Rodentia; Muridae
Exons: 3
Source: RefSeq, a predicted model, not a curated record
AUCCGGCUAUAGAGCAACUUUCCAACCCUAUUCAGAGAGACUGUUAUAAAUGAGAGUUUCCUGAACUUUGAAUCUCCAUAUGUAAGGGUUACCCAGGACAGAGGCGAACAAGAGGGAGAGGAGAAAAAGCCCAUAUCUAAUCCAGUUGGGUUGAGCGUGACUGUCAAGAGUGAAGCCUCAUCCUUCUCGAGCUGGAGACAAGGUGGUUGGUCCUGGUGUCCUCGAAAGCUUAUGGAAGCAGGAGGAGAAGACAUACUACGAGGUGCCAACCUGGAAGCAGAAAGCAGCCCUUGCCGGAUGACUCAACCCAUGGGGACCUUGAAGCUGGACUUUCUGUCCCCCAGAACUGUGAUUUAGAUUCGUAUCAAGUUGACAGCUGAAACUAUGACAGAAGGAGACUAGAAGUGGCCCACAAAAAUACAAGACGGUGGAUGUGACAGAUCAGAAGUCAUGAAUCAAGAGUCUGCCUUGGUGCCUCUCAGCCCUCAGCACAGACUCUAGACUGCUCCAGGAACUGCAAGAGGAGCGGUUCCCAUACAACUGGUACCCUCUCUCUGCCUUCUUCUCCCAAGGCCAGAAUCCCUAGGUGCCCUGGCCAUGUUUGUCACAGGGCCCACCUCUGUGCCAGCAUGGCUUCUUCCCCUUCUACUAAGCUAUGCUCCUCAGGUGUUCUCAGACACAACAGAACUGUUGCCCGUGGUGUGACCACAGACUCAUCUACAUGGAGGGUCCUGCUCCUUGCUCUGAUAAGCAGCUGUCUGGCUCAGGAUGGUCAGACAAUAGCCAUACACUGCAAGAGGAACUCCAGUCAGGCCAGUGCACAAUCAUCUGCUCUGAGUACCCAGGAACUUUUACCCAAGCCUGACCCCCCUCUCUGAUCACAACAGCCAACCCAGAAUGGCCAAGCCCGAGUUCUUUCCAAUCGAAUAAGAACAGUCACUGCAAUAUUUAAAAGAAAAGCCUCCAGAGAAAAUGUAUUUCUGUAGGUCCUGGCUAGUGUAUCCCAGGAUGCUUAGCAGUUUCCCAGGAUGCUUAGCAGUUUCCUUGUCCUUUAUUCAGUAGGUGUCAUCGACAACCUUUCCCUACCCCAAGUUGUGACAAACAAUACUAUUUGCAGACAUUGACAAAUGUCCACUCAGUAGGUGGGUGGACCUCCCAUCAGUUGAGAGCCACUGAUCCAGCUCUGUUGGCAUGGCCUCCAGCUCCUUCCUGCCCACCCACUGUACCUUCUGUGCUCUGCAUACUCCACCUGCCUGCAACACAGCUGACAUCCCACAGUUAGGCAGGCAGGAGGAAUGUGACCAUGUGGCACUUGAGGCUCAGAAAUCACCUAUUGUCAAUAGUGGGUGGAAGUUUCCACUCAUUGGAAACCAGCUGAUGGUAUUCAGUUGAUGGAUUUUCAUACAAGUCAGUGUUUUCUCACAAAAAUAACAACUUUACCUCCCCUUAUGCCAGGUCUGUUCUUUUUACAAAGCACAGCCUUCAUGUGUUACCACCAAACAUCAAGGUUGUAGAGACUGUGAGCCAUCUAAAAUACUCAUGGCAACAAACACAGGAAAGACCUGGGGGGCGGGGAAACUGCAUGCUAUAGAAUUGUGUCAUUGGGAUUCUGCGAGAUGGUUUUCUUCACUCCUAAGUUACCUGUGCUCUAACUUCCAUAGUUCUGUAGCACACACACAACAGCCUACAAGCAGCAUCCACAUAGGAGAGAAAACAUGCACUGCAUGUCUUUUGAGGUCCUGGUUACUUCAUUCAGGAUGAUUUUUUUUUUCUAACUCCUUCCAUUUGCCUGCAGUUGUCACGACCUCACUUUUGUUAACAGCUGACAAAUAUUCAUUGUGCAAAUGUAGCGCAGUUUAAUUAUCCAUUUGCCAGUAGAUGGGCAUCUUGGCUGUUUCCGACUUCUUGCUGUUAUGACUAGAACAGUAACAAUCAUGGAUGAAUAUGAAUAUUCACAGUAGCAUGUAGUCUUCUGUGUAGAAGCCCAAGAGUAGGAUAGCUGGAUCUUGAGGUAGCCUGAUUCUCAGCUUAUGAGGACCUUCCAUAUUGAUAGUGCCUGAAUCCAUUUGCACUCCCAUCAGAAAUGAAUAAGUGUCCCCCCUUUCCCUGCAUCCUCACCAGCAUUAGCUGCCAUUUGUAUUAUGGAUCCUGGCCUUUCCAACUUGGCUAAGGUAAAAAUAUCAAUUUAUCAUUAAUAAAUUCAUUAUUUAAUAA